GUCGCUAUGCCUCACACGACUAGGCUAUAUCAAUAAUACGCCAUACUAUGUGUAACGGGCUGCACGAGGUAUAUGUGAGGUGGAACAAACCAGAACCCAAAUCGGCAACGAGGGUGAGGCAUCGAGCCCACCGGAGCGUGUCCUAUUACAUGUUAACACAGGAAAGUCUGGCAAAUGAAUACCAAAGACCAGGGAGGCGCAGCCCUGCAAGUGGCUAAAAUGGGACCUGGGAUUUCGGGCCUUUCCAGAGACGGGAGUCGUCUUCCUUGGAUGGAUUUCGGUCCCAGGGUCUGCAUCAACACCUUGGGCUCACCUCGGGUCGUGCCAGGCGAGCGUAACACUUGUAAUGAGGUCACCAGACUGACGGCACACAAUGAAGUCAAAAGAAGAAACAUUGGCCGGAGCCAAGAAUGUUUUGUUGAUGCCAACAACUCCACUAAGUGUUAUGGGGACAGCGGGGGAGCCGGCUAUCAUCUGCUGGCGUCCAGGAGAAAGAUAUGUUUGGAGAGACUGACGCCAACGGUUUGAGCAAAGGAAUAUAAAAAGGACUAUGGGACAAUCGGGCGCGAGCUCUCUUUCAUUUCACCUUGGAGAUGGGUACAGGUGGAUGAAACGGGGCCCAGGUACCUGUAGACUGUGGAAACUAUCCUGUCUGACUUAUUUUUCAAUAUAUUUGGAAAAAUCUAACUUGUUGUGAGUCUUUCUCAUAACUGGAGAUUAAGGAGCUCACAAGGGAGGUGAAAUUGGCUACAAGAAUAAAGUCGUAAAUUCAUGAGGAAAAAAGUUGUAUUAUGAGAAAAAGUUGCAAAUUUAUGAGAAAGAAAUUAAGUCGUAAAUUUACGAGAAAAAAGUUUUACAUUUACGAGAAGAAAAGUGUUAAAUGUAUGAGAAUAAAGUGUCAGUAUGAGGUGUGGUGGUGCCGUACGUGUCAGAGGGAAAAUAGAGCAUAGCUCUUCAGGAACGAAAGAAGCUUUCCUCUUCCGCUUCAGGCAAGCUUUUAUUUAUAACGUGGCAGCAAAACACAGCAGUGCAGCACGGACAGAUUGGCAAGGCCAAAGGUCACAUAAGUCCCUCCUUUUUCAUAGCUGUCCCAGGCGAUGCCUGUUAGAUAAAGUUACUCAUUUUUUCUCAAACAUACGACUUUACUUUUAUUCUCAGUCUCAGAUUACUUUCAUACUCUGUCGUAUUCUUGUACAUUUAUGACUUCAUUCUCAUAAAUGUGACUUUCUUGUAACUUUAUAACUUUAUUCUCAUAUAUUUAACAACUUUUUUUCUCGUAAAUUUACACUUUUUCUCAAAUGUACAACUAUUUUUGUAAAUGUACAACUUUUUUCUCAUAAAUGUACAACUUUUUUCUGGUAAAUGUACUACUUUAUUGUCAUUUGUACGCUUCGUCUGCCAUCGUAACGGAGGGGUUUGACAUGAUGCGCAUGCAUUAAUUACACAACAUAACAAAGUAGUUACCGCCCUAACAUGACAUCAUCUGAAUAACACAAGACACGUGCCAUAUUGUAAGCGAGUUGGAAAAUGAACGCAAACAGAGGCGAAGGUUGGCCGUAGAUCUCUGUACGCGAAGGCUAACCAAGGUGCCACUGUGGUUGAAUUGCUACCAUGAAGGGGGUGUUGGAUGUCCUAAGUUACCCUCAAAGACGUGGAAAAUGUGCCAGUUAGCGUCCAUACUUCACAGCAGACUUUUGUCAGAAUUUGUCUUAAUGGAACGUGUCCGCCAACAGGAAGCCGCCUCCGUCCGUCUUUGUGCUGCGGCACGUGGCCGUCUUCUUGGACGGACACAUGUUCUCGUUGCAGAUCUCCCUGGCGUCCUUUGACUGCGUGAGCCCGCUUCCUGUUGAGGUGAGAGUCGCAGAACGCCAUCACACGCACGCCGUACACCAGCAGCCCUCGUGUACGUGAAUAAAGGUACGUCUUAUCUCUUCCAGGUACAAAAUGCUACAUUUAUCUUUUCAAGAUGAUGCAAUGUGGACUAAAGUAAUGGGACAGUUGGCUAUCGUGUUCUUUGGCCCCAUGGCGGGUUAUUUGGCAAUGAAACUGCAGAGUGAGUCAGGGUGCUUUGUUCUUGUGAUGUGUCGGUCGCCAAAGAAUGGGCUCUUUGAAAUGGACGACAAGAGCCGGCUCACGUCAUUGGGAGACAGUCGGGAGCCGACCAGUUUUAAAGGCGAAUGUCAUCGGUCAAGAUGUGUGGCGGCGUCGCUGCAUCCAGAUUGAGCGGGGGACGGGCGGAGUGAAACACGCCGUAGUGCUCAUGGAGCCGAUUCGUUCGUGAGGAAUUUGCAUGAAGAGAUCAAAUAUACUUGAUAUUGUGUAUUUUUUACAUUUGUGUUUCACACAAAACACAUCACUUGCUAAUAAAUUCAUUUAAGACAGCAAAAAAAAUCGGCGGAGCCACUCGGUAGCCGAAAAGAGCAGGCUCUUUUUAGUGAGCCGGGCCAAAAGAACCGGUUCUCUAAAAAGAGCCGAAAUUUCCACCACUACUUUGUUUGACCACACGAGUCCACAGAAUGAUACAGCACAGGCGUAAGCUGACUUGUUUCUUAUGUGCGAUAUCAUUUGAAAAUUGAGAGUGCUUGAAAACCGAGGCAAAAUUGUAGCAAAUUUUAGACCAAAAUGAUACACACGAAAAGUGAGGCAUGUGACUGUACCGUCGUCUCUCGCUACUUCGCGGUUCGAACAUCGCUCCCUCUCUGGUUGACUAUCAUCAGUCAAGAAAUAUACAUAUUUAAGCAAAUUGGACCUAUUUUUGCCCAAAUUAGGCAUUUUCAAACAUAAAAUGACUAAAUGAGCCAAAAUACAAAUGCAGUAUAAACCAUUUAGAGCAAUGUUCAACUUGUGAAUGUCACAUUGGUCACUAAUUUGGCCACUAGGUGUCAGUAACCACCAAAGUACCAGGUUUGAACAACUGGAUUUAAAUAAUAAUAAUAAUAAUAAUAAUAAUAAUAAUAAUAUUCAUGGAUUAGAUUUUGUUUAGUGCUUUUCAAGGCACCCAAAGUGCUUCACAAUGAAGUGAAGCCAUUCAUUCACCCCUCAGUCACACGCUGGUGGUGGUAAUCUACAUCUGUAGGCACAGCUGCCAAGGGGUAGUCUGACAGAAACACAGCUGCCAAUUUGCGCGUGUGGCCUCUCCGACCAAACCAAACAUUCAUUCGCAUUCAUACGCCAGUGUGGGCAGCACUGGAGGCGAGGUGGGUGACGUGUCUCGCCCAGGGACACGACGACGGUGACUGGGUGGAGGGAGCGAGGAUGGAACCGCCAACCCUCCGAUCUCCAGCUCAAUUGAUCUCACAGGCAUAGUAAGAACUACAACAAUAGUCAUAUUAGUAGCAUUGUAUUCAAUUACUGGGUAAUAGGUAAUAGGAGUGUAAAGCUGACUAUAGGGGUGUUAUUUCAUGUGUAAAGGGCUCUAAUGUGGAAAAAAAAAACUAUUUAGAAGAUCGUAAACUGAUUUUUUUUAUGCUGGAACUGCAAAAAUAUUUCAUUUAUAAAUAAGGAAUUCGACUUCUCAGAAAUUCACUUAUCGCUGUCGGGCCUGGAAGCAAUUAACCGCCAAAAACCGGGGAUUACUGUGUUGCAUUUUGAGGGGGGGACACAUUUAUGACCCCAGUUUAGCCAUUUUGCAGCUAAACAAGACAUAUUGGGCAUAAAAAAGGUUUAUGUAAUCCGCCCUACUUCACACUGCCCGCUCAAGGGCUCGAACACAUGACUUCGCAAUGGGGGAUGAGAGCGCUGACCCCUUGGCCAAAAGCCCCAAUCGUCAACUGUGCGUUCAGUGCAGCUCUUAAGGCAGAGGGAGUGAGGUUUACCAACACACUUGCGCAGCCUCACAGGCUGGCAUCCGUUACAUUCACCACCUUCUAAAUACGCUUUUUAACCUUAUUAGAGCCCUCUAGACAUGACAUAACACCCCUAUAGUCACCUUUACACGCCUAUUACCCAAUAUAGUAGACAUAAUAGCAUAAAAGAAGACACUUCAGACAUAAAUAAGAAUAUAUAUGUAAUAGAAACUCACACACAUACUUCCUGCAUGGCUAUUGCCUCAUCAGUGUAACAUUACUGACACCUAGGGACCAGUGCAGAAUACUGCAUGUCAUCACAACAUGCGUUUGAAUGCCUUAUUUGUGUUUCAUAUUUAGCCAUUUUUAUGCUGAAUUUAGGCCAGAAUGCUCAAAUAUGCAUGUUUUUGACUAUCAAUAGGCCGUAAUCAACCAUGAAACAGCGCUGAUUUGUCUUUUUGCAAGAGCGUGGUAGAGUGAAGCCACGAAAUCGGUGUUAGUCAUGUCAGAAUAUGAUUAUGUUCCAAUAUUUCCGGACUACCGGGGCAGAUAUUACUGUGUUGUGAGCUGACAGUGCGUCGCCAGCAAGAUGCUGCGUUUACUGCACAUGGAACCAACCCUGUCAUUUUCACAUGACUUUCUGUGACUAAAUCUCGUGUUUUAUUUGCAAAAUAGAACAUCCGUGGGCAAACCACCACACAUACCACUGAGGAAUAUAUCAUCUUUUGAACAAAAUACUAAAUGUGUUGUGGCAAAGUAGCACUCGCAUCACUCACCGUCCAUGAGGUUGUAGACGAGGCAGUAAUCGUUGCUGGUGGAGUUGGAGGUCUUUGUGGUGGACGUGGCCUGCAAAGGAAUGAUGGAAGGAAGUCAACACCUCCGUGUGGCCACAAACAGGAAGUGCGUUCAAGCCCACCUUCACCCUGCAGAAGCUGGGCGCCGACGGCGGGUUGAACUCCAAGACGAUGUCGGUGGUGGCGCGGCCGCUGGGCGAGGUGUGCUGGAUUUGCAGGCAUGACGGAGAGUCCUUCACUAACUGGAGGAAAGUUGAACAACGUUGGGAUUAAAACAGUCAUACAGCGAAGUGACAGUAGGUGGAAAAGCCUAUUGUUUCUAUCAAAUCACACCCCCCGGCCCCCCUUUUUGUUGUUUUUUUUUAAUUACAAACGCUUCAAACUUUUUCUUAACCAAUUUUUGUAAAUUUUGACUCCUACCUCCGGCCCCCUCCACCGCCCCCCAAUGUAAUUUUCCAAAAGUACAACCUUUUUGGUGUUCUUUGAUUCUUACUAUUCAUACU
Molecule: long non-coding RNA, 5082 nt
Organism: Dunckerocampus dactyliophorus (ringed pipefish)
Lineage: Eukaryota; Metazoa; Chordata; Actinopteri; Syngnathiformes; Syngnathidae
Exons: 3
Source: RefSeq, a predicted model, not a curated record